GGCACAGCGAAAGCGUUAAGCAUUCCACCUGGGGAGUACGCCGGCAACGGUGAAACUCAAAGGAAUUGACGGGGGCCCGCACAAGCGGAGGAACAUGUGGUUUAAUUCGAUGAUACGCGAGGAACCUUACCCGGGCUCAAACGUAGAUGGAAUACGGUUGAAAGACUGUAGCCCUUCGGGGCCGUCUACGAGGUGCUGCAUGGUUGUCGUCAGCUCGUGCCGUGAGGUGUCGGCUUAAGUGCCAUAACGAGCGCAACCCCUAUCGACAGUUGCUAACAAGUAGCGUUGAGGACUCUGUCGAGACUGCCGGCGCAAGCUGUGAGGAAGGCGGGGAUGACGUCAAAUCAGCACGGCCCUUACGUCCGGGGCGACACACGUGUUACAAUGGCAGGUACAGCGGGAGGCCAUGUGGCGACACAGAGCAGAACCCGAAAACCUGUCUCAGUUCGGAUUGGAGUCUGCAACUCGACUCCAUGAAGCUGGAUUCGCUAGUAAUCGCGCAUCAGCCAUGGCGCGGUGAAUACGUUCCCGGGCCUUGUACACACCGCCCGUCAAGCCAUGGAAGCCGGGAGUGCCUGAAGUGCGUGAGCGCAAGCAGCGCCCUAAGGUAAAACCGGUGACUGGGGCUAAGUCGUAACAAGGUAACCGUAAGGGC
RNAcentral lists this ribosomal RNA (655 nucleotides) under uncultured bacterium. Its description in RNAcentral is "bacterial SSU rRNA". It matches the Rfam family "Bacterial small subunit ribosomal RNA", at positions 845 to 1509 of the family's 1533-position model. The record is from RNAcentral.